Molecule: ribosomal RNA, 460 nt
Filed under: uncultured bacterium
Lineage: Bacteria
Description: partial 16S ribosomal RNA
Rfam family: Bacterial small subunit ribosomal RNA
Source: RNAcentral
CCUACGGGUGACAGCAGUGAGGAAUAUUGGUCAAUGGACGAGAGUCUGAACCAGCCAAGUAGCGUGAAGGAUGACUGCCCUAUGGGUUGUAAACUUCUUUUAUAUGGGAAUAAAAUGUUCCACGUGUGGGAUUUUGUAUGUACCAUAUGAAUAAGGAUCGGCUAACUCCGUGCCAGCAGCCGCGGUAAUACGGAGGAUCCGAGCGUUAUCCGGAUUUAUUGGGUUUAAAGGGAGCGUAGGUGGAUUGUUAAGUCAGUUGUGAAAGUUUGCGGCUCAACCGUAAAAUUGCAGUUGAAACUGGCAGUCUUGAGUACAGUAGAGGUGGGCUGAAUUCGUGGUGUAGCGGUGAAAUGCUUAGAUAUCACGAAGAACUCCGAUUGCGAAGGCAGUUCACUGGACUGCAACUGACACUGAGGCUCGAAAGUGUGGGUAUCAAACAGGAUUAGAUACCCGAGUAGUC